UGCAGUAGACGCUGAGGAGGAGCUUGCUUCUCUGGAUGAGUUGCGAACGGGUGAGUAACGCGUAGGUAACCUGCCUGGUAGCGGGGGAUAACUAUUGGAAACGAUAGCUAAUACCGCAUAAUAGCAGUUGUUGCAUGACAGCUGUUUGAAAGGUGCAAUUGCAYCACUACCAGAUGGACCUGCGUUGUAUUAGCUAGUUGGUGGGGUAACGGCUCACCAAGGCGACGAUACAUAGCCGACCUGAGAGGGUGAUCGGCCACACUGGGACUGAGACACGGCCCAGACUCCUACGGGAGGCAGCAGUAGGGAAUCUUCGGCAAUGGACGGAAGUCUGACCGAGCAACGCCGCGUGAGUGAAGAAGGUUUUCGGAUCGUAAAGCUCUGUUGUAAGAGAAGAACGAGUGUGAGAGUGGAAAGUUCACACUGUGACGGUAUCUUACCAGAAAGGGACGGCUAACUACGUGCCAGCAGCCGCGGUAAUACGUAGGUCCCGAGCGUUGUCCGGAUUUAUUGGGCGUAAAGCGAGCGCAGGCGGUUAGAUAAGUCUGAAGUUAAAGGCUGUGGCUUAACCAUAGUACGCUUUGGAAACUGUUUAACUUGAGUGCAAGAGGGGAGAGUGGAAUUCCAUGUGUAGCGGUGAAAUGCGUAGAUAUAUGGAGGAACACC
Molecule: ribosomal RNA, 666 nt
Filed under: Streptococcus oralis
Lineage: Bacteria; Bacillati; Bacillota; Bacilli; Lactobacillales; Streptococcaceae
Description: bacterial SSU rRNA
Source: RNAcentral